Molecule: small RNA, 86 nt
Filed under: Klebsiella pneumoniae
Lineage: Bacteria; Pseudomonadati; Pseudomonadota; Gammaproteobacteria; Enterobacterales; Enterobacteriaceae
Description: partial RtT sRNA
Rfam family: RtT RNA
About the family: This family represents a bacterial cis-regulatory element known as RtT RNA. The exact function of RtT is unknown although it is thought that it may be involved in changing the cellular response in relation to amino acid starvation.
Source: RNAcentral
UGCAUCUGGGGCCUGCGAGGAUGAGAACCUCCGGGGGCAGGAGGUUCGACUCGAGCGAAGCGAGAGAACGUUGCGUCAGCAACGGC